RNAcentral lists this ribosomal RNA (995 nucleotides) under Klebsiella pneumoniae. RNAcentral describes it as "partial 23S ribosomal RNA". It matches the Rfam family "Bacterial large subunit ribosomal RNA", at positions 201 to 1238 of the family's 2925-position model. The record is from RNAcentral. Lineage: Bacteria; Pseudomonadati; Pseudomonadota; Gammaproteobacteria; Enterobacterales; Enterobacteriaceae.
UCUAAGUACCCCGAGGAAAAGAAAUCAACCGAGAUUCCCCCAGUAGCGGCGAGCGAACGGGGAGCAGCCCAGAGUCUGAAUCAGCUUGUGUGUUAGUGGAACGGUCUGGAAAGUCCGACGGUACAGGGUGAUAGUCCCGUACACCAAAAUGCACAGGCUGUGAACUCGAAGAGUAGGGCGGGACACGUGGUAUCCUGUCUGAAUAUGGGGGGACCAUCCUCCAAGGCUAAAUACUCCUGACUGACCGAUAGUGAACCAGUACCGUGAGGGAAAGGCGAAAAGAACCCCGGCGAGGGGAGUGAAAAAGAACCUGAAACCGUGUACGUACAAGCAGUGGGAGCACCUUCGGGUGUGACUGCGUACCUUUUGUAUAAUGGGUCAGCGACUUAUAUUCUGUAGCAAGGUUAACCGUAUAGGGGAGCCGCAGGGAAACCGAGUCUUAACUGGGCGUUAAGUUGCAGGGUAUAGACCCGAAACCCGGUGAUCUAGCCAUGGGCAGGUUGAAGGUUGGGUAACACUAACUGGAGGACCGAACCGACUAAUGUUGAAAAAUUAGCGGAUGACUUGUGGCUGGGGGUGAAAGGCCAAUCAAACCGGGAGAUAGCUGGUUCUCCCCGAAAGCUAUUUAGGUAGCGCCUCGUGAACUCAUCUUCGGGGGUAGAGCACUGUUUCGGCUAGGGGGUCAUCCCGACUUACCAACCCGAUGCAAACUACGAAUACCGAAGAAUGUUAUCACGGGAGACACACGGCGGGUGCUAACGUCCGUCGUGAAGAGGGAAACAACCCAGACCGCCAGCUAAGGUCCCAAAGUCAUGGUUAAGUGGGAAACGAUGUGGGAAGGCACAGACAGCCAGGAUGUUGGCUUAGAAGCAGCCAUCAUUUAAAGAAAGCGUAAUAGCUCACUGGUCGAGUCGGCCUGCGCGGAAGAUGUAACGGGGCUAAACCAUGCACCGAAGCUGCGGCAGCGACACUAUGUGUUGUUGGGUAGGGGAGCG